RNAcentral lists this transfer RNA (72 nucleotides) under Metschnikowia hibisci. RNAcentral describes it as "tRNA-Glu". It matches the Rfam family "tRNA". Rfam says of the family: Transfer RNA (tRNA) molecules are approximately 80 nucleotides in length. Their secondary structure includes four short double-helical elements and three loops (D, anti-codon, and T loops). Further hydrogen bonds mediate the characteristic L-shaped molecular structure. tRNAs have two regions of fundamental functional importance: the anti-codon, which is responsible for specific mRNA codon recognition, and the 3' end, to which the tRNAs corresponding amino acid is attached (by aminoacyl-tRNA synthetases). tRNAs cope with the degeneracy of the genetic code in two manners: having more than one tRNA (with a specific anti-codon) for a particular amino acid; and 'wobble' base-pairing, i.e. permitting non-standard base-pairing at the 3rd anti-codon position. RNAcentral also lists the same sequence under 2 other names. Lineage: Eukaryota; Fungi; Ascomycota; Pichiomycetes; Serinales; Metschnikowiaceae. The record is from RNAcentral.
GACUAUAUGAUCUAAUGGUUAUGAUAAUACUACUUCACAGUAUUUAUAUGGGUUCGAAUCCCGUUGUGGUUA